This 492-nucleotide ribosomal RNA is filed under the name uncultured bacterium. Its description in RNAcentral is "partial 16S ribosomal RNA". It matches the Rfam family "Bacterial small subunit ribosomal RNA", at positions 29 to 507 of the family's 1533-position model. The record is from RNAcentral.
AGUGAACGCUGGCGGUAGGCCUAACACAUGCAAGUCGAACGGCAGCACAGUAAGAGCUUGCUCUUACGGGUGGCGAGUGGCGGACGGGUGAGGAAUACAUCGGAAUCUACUUUUUCGUGGGGGAUAACGUAGGGAAACUUACGCUAAUACCGCAUACGACCUACGGGUGAAAGCAGGGGAUCUUCGGACCUUGCGCGAUUGAAUGAGCCGAUGUCGGAUUAGCUAGUUGGCGGGGUAAAGGCCCACCAAGGCGACGAUCCGUAGCUGGUCUGAGAGGAUGAUAGGCGACACUGGAAGUGAGCCACGGUCCAGACUCCUACGGGAGGCAGCAGUGGGGAAUAUUGGACAAAGGGCGCAAGCCUGAUCCAGCCAUACCGCGUGGGUGAAGAAGGCCUUCGGGUUGUAAAGCCCUUUUGUUGGGAAAGAAAAGCAGCAGGUUAAUACCCCGCUGUUCUGACGGUACCCAAAGAAUAAGCACCGGCUAACUUCGUG